Molecule: non-coding RNA, 114 nt
Filed under: Pontibacillus litoralis
Lineage: Bacteria; Bacillati; Bacillota; Bacilli; Caryophanales; Bacillaceae
Also listed under: 1 other name
Description: SAM-I sequence
Rfam family: SAM riboswitch aptamer (S box leader)
About the family: The SAM riboswitch is found upstream of a number of genes which code for proteins involved in methionine or cysteine biosynthesis in Gram-positive bacteria.
Source: RNAcentral
AUCUUAUCCUGAGUUGGUGGAGGGACAGGCCCAAAGAAACCCGGCAACCGUCACUAUAUAUAUGGUGAAAUGGUGCUAACCUGUUGCAAGGUGAGAAGCCUUGAACGAUAAGAG